Molecule: unclassified non-coding RNA, 306 nt
Filed under: uncultured fungus
Lineage: Eukaryota; Fungi
Description: sequence contains ITS1
Rfam family: 5.8S ribosomal RNA (bases 1-105)
Source: RNAcentral
GAAAUGCGAUAAGUAGUGGGAAUUGCAGAAUUCAGUGAAUCAUCGAAUCUUUGAACGCACAUUGCGCCCUUUGGUAUUCCAAAGGGCAUGCCUGUUCGAGCGUCAUUUGUACCCUCAAGCUUUGCUUGGUGUUGGGCGUCUUGUCUCUAGCUUUGCUGGAGACUCGCCUUAAAGUAAUUGGCAGCCGGCCUACUGGUUUCGGAGCGCAGCACAAGUAGCAAUCUCCAUCAGAAAAGGUCUAGCAUCCAUUAACCCUUUUUUUCAAGUUUUGACCUCGGAUCAGGCAGGGAUCACCGCUGAACUUAA